GGGCCGGUGGUGUAGCCUGGUUAGCAUGUCGCCCUUACACGGCGAAGGUCCCAGGUUCAAAUCCUGGCCGGCCCA
Molecule: transfer RNA, 75 nt
Filed under: Nitrososphaeria archaeon
Lineage: Archaea; Thermoproteati; Nitrososphaerota; Nitrososphaeria
Also listed under: 2 other names
Description: tRNA-Val
Rfam family: tRNA
About the family: Transfer RNA (tRNA) molecules are approximately 80 nucleotides in length. Their secondary structure includes four short double-helical elements and three loops (D, anti-codon, and T loops).
Source: RNAcentral